ACCAAUCAGCGCGCAAAAGGUGAGGAGUGGCGGGGGAAGCAGCCAAUCGGGGCACCGGCCCGCCCCAACCGCGCCACUGGGUCGUUUCACCCUUACAUUGCCAGUCCACAGCCACCGGAGCCACAGCAACCUCAGCAGCCUGACCCAGUGCUGGUUGUUCUGAUGUUCCUCAGUGGCCCCACUCUUGGGUAUGUGGGCAUCUACCUGACAGACUUUCACAGCCAGCUUCUACAGCCGGGCAGCAAUAUCUUGCCAUAAUUCGGCAGCCCAGAUGGGUUUGCCUCUGCGCUGCCAGUUGCUCUGCUUCCAUUGCUGUAACCACCCCCACAGGGCAUUGGCCACCAUCCACGAGUCAGUAGAUAGAACACCAGCCACUUGUCUCACUCAGCAAUGUCUAAAGCCAGCUGGAUGGAUUUCACUUCCACAAACUGACUCAAUUCACCUUCUCCUUCUGCAGCUUCUGUGACUCGCCGUGUAAGAGUCCAUACAGCAGCCUUCCUCCUCCGGUGCUUUCCCACGAUGCGACAGGACCCGUCAGUGAACAGGGCGUAGGGCUUCUCAUUUUCUGGCAGCAGGGAGACAUGAAGGCUGUCCAACUCUGGUGCUGGCCUGUCCUGACGACUGGGUUGGGUAUCGCAAAGUCUGCUACUACCUCUCGAAUGAGGAGGGGAGCUGGGAGUGGAGCCAGGAGCGGUGCUCCUCACACGGGGCCUCGCUGGCUGUGCUCCAGAGGGAGUGGGAAAUGGAGUUUCUCUUGCGCCUCAAGGGCAACACUGAUGUCUGGCUUGGGCUGCGGAGACAAGGCGAGCGCCUGGAGUGGGUGGAUGGCAGCAGCUUCAACCAGAGGAUCCCGGUGCAGGGCCAAGAACCGUGUUUGUUCCUGAAGGACCAUGAUCUCUGGAGUUCAAGCUGCUCAAAGCAACGGCCUUAUGUGUGCAGCAAGGCCUCAGUUCUGAUGGGAACCACGUGAGGGAGCUGGUGGAGAAAGGUCCUUCCCGGUGCUGGGGACUGUUGGGUUUACGUGGCAAGGGUUUGGUAGUGGGGGGCUUCUCUGAGGAGAUGCCAGGAGCUGCCCCCGUGUUGGAUGGAGUCACUUCCAGCUGGCUCCAGGACGCACUCACUGCUGGCCAAGGCUGAGCCCAUCAUUGACGAUGGCAGUGCCUCUGGGACAAGAUAUUUAAGAAGGGGAAAAGCCCUGCUCCUCAGAGCACAUUCCUUCCAGCCCUUCACCAGCUGGCUUGCCCUCCUCUGGACAUGUUCAAGGACCUUCACAUCCUUCUCAAAUGGUGGGGCCCAGCUCUGCCCAUGCUGCUGACUCCCGUUGAGCCUGCUGCCGACCAGCACCCUGUAAACUCAACCACUCCAUGAAUGCUGUGGCCAAGGCAGCCACCAGCCAUCCUGUUAAUGGAGAAGGAUUUGUGAGAAACAAAGAACAAGUCUAGGAGAGCAUCUCUUCCACUUGAGUCACUGAGUACUGGUGAAAAGAAGGCAUCUUCCAAAAAUUCAGGAAUCUCCUAGACCUGCUUGUCACAGCAGCGUGGCAUUCCUGGCUAUUAUCUGGGUUGUUGAAGUCUCCCAUGAGGACAAGGGUGACCGAUCCAGAGAAUUCUCCUAUGGAAUAACUCAUUGGCAGUGUCAUCCUGGCUGGGCUAUGGGUGGUGGACACCCACUGUGCCAUCUGCUUUGUUUUCCAUCUUCUGUUCCUCACCCAGAGGCUCUCGACCACGUCAUCCCGAACUGCUGAGGCUGUGUGGCAAAACCUCUCCCUUCCUUACAGUGCAACUCCUCCACCUCGCCUGCUCUGCCUAUCACUCCUGAGGAGCUGGUGGCCCUCCAUCCCAGCGCUCCAGCCGUGUCUCCUGCUCUGAGACCAUGCGAAGGGGCACUGAGAGAGCGGUCUCUUUCUCUGGGGUGUCCUGGUUUCAGCAGGGGUGUAGAGUUAAUGUUCACAAGGAGCUGGGAGGGGACGCAGCCAGGACAGCUGACCCCAACUGACUAAAGGGGUAUUCCAUCCCAUAUGAUGUCAUGUUCCAUAUAUAACUGGUGGGUGGCCCAGGAGCGGGGGCAGCUCGGGGUCUUGCAGAGCAUUGACUUUGGGUGGUGAUGCUGUGCAUAACUUGGUGGUUGUUGUUGUUGUUUGUGUUCUCCUAUAAAAUUCUCUUUAUCUCAACCCACAAAUUUUUUCCACAAGCCUUUUUGGUGGCCAACAUGGGGCUCAAAUGUUUGAGAUAAGAACAGAUAUGACUAGAGCAUGUUAAAACAAGUUACUCGUAAACAUAUGUUUACAUUACUUUCGAUCCUUUUGAUCCUUACAUACUUUUCUGAUCCCCAGACCGAAAAGCUCUGAGCAAGACCCCCGGGAAGGUAAAGGCACUCUUUUCUCUAAGGGACAUUAAAGGUUCCGUGCCCAUAAGGCGCAGCGAAAGCCUCACAGAGUUGGGCUAUAAAGGAAGGAUUCGAUCCUAAAGGAUGAAAGUCUGUAGGACACCCGGGUUUGGAAGAGGACCCAGUGCAAACGGAACCGGAAAUUCUGCAGGAAAUAAAGGACGCAGUAAUCCCAUUGGUAUGGGCCAGUGGAACUCCGGGAAGGUCGUGAGCCGUGGAACCAGUAAAGAUUUGGUUAAAGCCGGGAGCUAAACCGGUUUCACCUGACUCUGGGAGUCCUCGCCCAGCGUUUGGGACCCUGGAAGAGACUGGUGGGAUACUUUUCCAAACAGCUGGAUGACGUGAGUAAAGGCUGGCCGUCCUGCCUCCGGGCUGUAGCGGCGACGGUAUUGCGGCUUCAAGUGGCCCGGAGGUUCGCUAUGGGGUAACGGAUGACCGUGUACGUGCCCCGUAUGCUGCAGCAGUACUGGAGCAAAAGGAAAUCACUGGUUAUCACCGAGCAGAACGAUGAAAUAUCAAGCCAUCUUACUGGAGAUGGAUGAUGUGAACCUAAAGGUAACAUCUAUGCUUAAUCUUGCAUUAUUUCUAUCCACCUUUUUGGAAGAUAGUGGGGAAAUAGAGCGUGACUGCCCCGUCACAAUGGUUACCGAUAUUUAUUAGUGCUAGUGGACACCUUUUCUGGAUGGCCGGAGGCUUUUCCCUGUUGCACCAACAAGGCUAGAGAAGUCGUAAAGGUAUUAAUGAAAGAAAUAAUUCCCAGAUUUGGAGUACCAAUAGGAAUGUCCUCUGAUAGGGGUCCCCGCUUUGUGGCCGAAAUCCUUCAAAAUUUGGCUCGUGUAUUAGGGAUACAGUGGGACCUGCACACUCCAUGGAGGCCACAAUCUAGUGGAAAGGUAGAAAGAAUGAAUCAGAGUUUGAAGAGAGAGAUAAGCAGGAUCUGUCAAGAAACUCAACUCCAAUGGCCCCAGGCCCUUCCACUAGCUUUGCUGAGAAUCAGAAUUAGACCCUCUUCCAAAGAGCAACUUAGUCCAUACGAGAUACUGUACGGAAAACCUUAUCAAGUGAUAAACUAUCCUGGAGAUUGGCAGGUCAAAGGAAAUCAGGAUUUAAAAGACUGUGUGAUGAGAAUGGGAAAGAUUCCUUCCUCGUUACAUAGAUCCAUGGUUCUUACUUGACCUCUGGCUUUGGAUACACACGUUCAUCCUUAGCAGCCUGGAGACUGGGUCUAUAUCAAGGUCUGGAAGGAGGAACCCCUUUCAGCAAAGAUGGAAAGGACCUUAUCAAGUGAUAUGAACUACUUUUACUGCUGGUAAGGUUGCAGGGAAGGAGUCCUGGAUCCAUUAUACUUGAGUAAAACCAGCAUCAGAGCCAAAAGAACCUCAGUAGAAGGUCACCUCAUCAGAUAAAGAUCCUCUCUGAAUAAAAAAUUCAAAAAUCAACCUGAAAAUUAGCCAGUAAGCUGUAAGUGUUUUGGUUGGAAUAGCCGUGAUGUUAACUAACUGUUGAACUAACCAGGGCACAAAUCACGACAAUCUUUAUGAGGAGACGAAAAUCCGAUUGACUAAAGAGCUUAACGUGACAAAUUGUUGGAUAUGCUCGCAGACAAUGUUGGGAGGAACAGCGAUCCCUUUUAGCCCGAUCCCUUUACAAUGGCCAGAAUAUUGUAUUUUGCUAAAUUGGUCUAACCAAACAAAGCUAGAACAAGAGACUGUUAUUUUAGCAGCAGAGUUAGCAAUCAAUUGUACAAUAGAGAAAAACCAUAGUGCCAUCCUGUCUGGGUUACCUAAGCAAACCUUUGAGCCUAAGGUGAAUUAGACAGACAGACAGACCUCAUGCCAUCAAAUUAGGGCGUACAAGAGAUGGAUUCCUUUGUUACAAAGCAGCCAAAGUUGAUGCAAUUGGUGGUGGUUACUCUGGUGGCUUUAAUGCAGGUAACAGUAAAUGUAAAUUUUAUCUUACAGACACUCAAGCUGUUACUGUGCCACUUAGCAUUUGAAACAGUACAACAGGAGGAAAUCUUUCUUUUUGACACUCUCCUAUUACUUGUGAAAUGUGGAAAAAUGGAACUAAAACUUGAGUAGGAGGAUUUAAUGGUACAUAUUGGAUUUGUGGAAAAAGGCGUAGCGAUGGAUACCUGGGGGAUGGUACGUAUCCUGUUAUUUAGGUUUGUUAAUGCCCCCAUUUCAAGUACUACAACAACUUCCAUCAGGGUGACCAUGUUGGAAAAGAGAGAGAAAAGUGGAAAAUAGACUUGUUGUAACAGAAGGGGAAAAAUUUUUCUAUAUGCUAUGCCCCAUGUGUGCAGCCGCGACCUAUGGAACUAAGAGAAAUCAACUUAGCAAUUUGUUGAAGGAAGUAGCUAACGAAACCGUUAAGGUAUUGAACAGUACGUCUUAUGAAAUGGCCUAAAAUAGAAUGGUGAGUCUACAAAAUCAUAUGGCCCUAGAUUAUCUGUUAGCUAGUCAAGGAGGAAUUUGUGCUCUUAUGGGACAAGAAUGUUGUACAUACAUAGAUGAUGGAUUGAAGACCCAACAGAAAGGAAUCAAUUUGAUUGAGAGGGCAGUGGAAGAGUGGGAGAAAGAAGAAAAAAAAAAAUUGUUUUCAGAAUCGUAGUGGAAUUGGUUAACCUCAUGGCUACCAAACCUAACCUGGCUGAAGGAAUUGUUUGUAGUAAUCACAGCUAUAGUUGUUAUAUGUAUGUUACGUUGUAUCACAAUUCAAUAUUUACCCUUAAUCACAUCCUGUUGUACCCAAUUGUGUAUACCUGAGAAUCAAAAAUGAUAUUAUCAAAAUUAUGCAAUCUAGGGGAGACUCCCAAAGAGUUCUUACUUUGGAAGUCUCAAACGGGGGGAAAUGUUGAGAAAUUCUUUUGCCAAACAAUGAUUAGUUUUGAAUUUAAGAAGGCGUAUGAGUAAUUAAUACUCAUAUAUCCUAACCUUGAGAACAGAAACCUCCUGGCAGGAUUGCCCAGACAGGGUUGAUCAGGAAGAACAGCUUGGCCGGACAACAGAGUUGGGAAACAUCCAAGGAGAAGAAACUCUCCUCAAAGACUUGUGACCAUAAAAGGGAAAAAGGAGUGGGGGGCUAACUCCCCAAACGACCACCCGAGACCCCUGCGCAUGCGUAGUGUAGUUUUGCAACGCCAGCGUUAUGUAAAUGUAGUAGAUAGGCGGAGAGGUGGAGAUUUCUCGGAAAAUGUAUGACUACUCCUGUCUUAAGGUAUAUAAAGGAUGAACUUUUAUUUUAGUGUAUGCACGAUAGGUGGAGCUAUCCCCCGUGCAUCCGGCGUCGUAAUAAAGCAAUGCCUGCUUUCUAAUACUAAACCAGAGUAUUGGAGAGUUUAUUAUCCCAUAUUUGGUGACAGGGGCAGAGUGUGAGGAGUCCUGCCCUGAGGAGGAAGGAGCAGCAGAGACAAGGGGUGAUGAAGUGACCACAGCCCCCAUUCCCCAUCCCCCUGUGGUGCUGGGGGGCAGUAGGUAGAAUUGGGGA
Grus americana (Whooping crane) is the source of this 5874-nucleotide long non-coding RNA. RefSeq lists it as uncharacterized. The transcript has 6 exons. The record is from RefSeq and is a predicted model, not a curated record. Lineage: Eukaryota; Metazoa; Chordata; Aves; Gruiformes; Gruidae.